AACAUUACUCUUCCCAUCCAUCUGGGGAGUGGAAGACUGGCUAACUUCUCCAUGACGCAUUUUUGCCUCUGAACAUGGCUGUGAACUAGAUUCAUAAGUGUUAGAUGAACUCACCAAAACAGGUUGAGAAGAUUGUAGGGUUGAUGAAGGUGCAUGAGAAGAUUGGACUGUUGAUGAAGGUGCAUGAGCUGUCAAAGAAGCAGAACCAGUAGCAGCUGCUUCACUUACAGUUCGACCAGCCUCCCUUACAAUGUUCAAACCAAGUAACUCAUCCAAAUUAUUCUCGGAAGCACUUGCUGCAAUUGAGUUUUUUCUAGAUCCUAGGUCCA
This 329-nucleotide long non-coding RNA is filed under the name Gossypium raimondii (Peruvian cotton). RNAcentral describes it as "long non-coding RNA (GRAI_LNC006141)". The record is from RNAcentral. Lineage: Eukaryota; Viridiplantae; Streptophyta; Magnoliopsida; Malvales; Malvaceae.